UACGUAGGCAGCGAGCGUUGUUCGGAGUUACUGGGCGUAAAGGGUGUGUAGGCGGUUUGUUUUAAGUUUGGUGUGAAAUCUCCCGGCUCAACUGGGAGGGUGCGCCGAAUACUGAAUGACUUGGAGUGCGGGAGAGGAGAGUGGAAUUCCUGGUGUAGCGGUGAAAUGCGUAGAUAUCAGGAGGAACACCGGUGGUGUAGACGGCUCUCUGGACCGUAACUGACGCUGAGACACGAAAGCGUGGGUAGCAAACAGG
RNAcentral lists this ribosomal RNA (256 nucleotides) under uncultured bacterium. Its description in RNAcentral is "partial 16S ribosomal RNA". It matches the Rfam family "Bacterial small subunit ribosomal RNA", at positions 524 to 776 of the family's 1533-position model. The record is from RNAcentral.